GACGAACGCUGGCGGCACGCCUAACACAUGCAAGUCGAACGAAGUAAAAGAGCUUGCUCUUUUACUGAGUGGCGGACGGGUGAGUAACGCGUGAGUAACCUGCCUUUUUGAGGGGGAUAACGUUUGGAAACGAACGCUAAUACCGCAUAAUGUACAGAGAUGGCAUCAUCAUUGUACCAAAGGAGUAAUCCGCAAAAAGAUGGACUCGCGUCCAAUUAGCUAGUUGGUGAGGUAAAGGCCCACCAAGGCUUCGAUUGGUAGCCGGACUGAGAGGUUGAACGGCCACAUUGGGACUGAGACACGGCCCAGACACCUACGGGAGGCAG
RNAcentral lists this ribosomal RNA (326 nucleotides) under uncultured Bacillota bacterium. Its description in RNAcentral is "bacterial SSU rRNA". It matches the Rfam family "Bacterial small subunit ribosomal RNA", at positions 28 to 351 of the family's 1533-position model. The record is from RNAcentral. Lineage: Bacteria; Bacillati; Bacillota.